This 644-nucleotide ribosomal RNA is filed under the name uncultured bacterium. Its description in RNAcentral is "bacterial SSU rRNA". It matches the Rfam family "Bacterial small subunit ribosomal RNA", at positions 8 to 647 of the family's 1533-position model. The record is from RNAcentral.
AGAGUUUGAUCCUGGCUCAGGAUGAACGCUGGCGGCGUGCUUAACACAUGCAAGUCGAACGAAGCGCGCGGAAGGAAGGCCUUCGGGCCGGAGAGCCGCGGGACUGAGUGGCGGACGGGUGAGUAACGCGUGGGCAACCUGCCCCGUACAGGGGGAUAACAGCCGGAAACGGCUGCUAAUACCGCAUAAGCGCACAGCGCCGCAUGGCGCGGUGUGAAAAGCUCCGGCGGUACGGGAGGGGCCCGCGUUUGAUUAGGCAGUUGGCGGGGCAGCGGCCCACCAAACCGACGAUCAGUAGCCGGCCUGAGAGGGCGGCCGGCCACAUUGGGACUGAGACACGGCCCAAACUCCUGCGGGAGGCAGCAGUGGGGAAUAUUGCACAAUGGGGGAAACCCUGAUGCAGCGACGCCGCGUGAGCGAAGAAGUAUUUCGGUAUGUAAAGCUCUAUCAGCAGGGAAGAAAAAAAUGACGGUACCUGAGUAAGAAGCACCGGCUAAAUACGUGCCAGCAGCCGCGGUAAUACGUAUGGUGCAAGCGUUAUCCGGAUUUACUGGGUGUAAAGGGAGCGUAGGCGGCGCGUUAAGUCUGAUGUGAAAACCCGAGGCUCAACCACGGGAGUGCAUUGGAAACUGGCGUGCUGGAGU